This 486-nucleotide ribosomal RNA is filed under the name uncultured bacterium. RNAcentral's name for it is "partial 16S ribosomal RNA". It matches the Rfam family "Bacterial small subunit ribosomal RNA", at positions 30 to 507 of the family's 1533-position model. The record is from RNAcentral.
AUUGAACGCUGGCGGCAUGCCUUACACAUGCAAGUCGAACGGCAGCACGGGUGCUUGCCCCUGGUGGCGAGUGGCGAACGGGUGAGUAAUACAUCGGAACAUGUCCUGUAGUGGGGGAUAGCCCGGCGAAAGCCGGAUUAAUACCGCAUACGAUCUACGUAUGAAAGCGGGGGACCUUCUGGCCUCGCGCUAUAGGGUUGGCCGAUAGCUGAUUAGCUAGGUGGUGGGGUAAAGGCCUACCAAGGCGACGAUCAGUAGCUGGUCUGAGAGGACGACCAGCCACACUGGGACUGAGACACGGCCCAGACUCCUACGGGAGGCAGCAGUGGGGAAUUUUGGACAAUGGGCGAAAGCCUGAUCCAGCAAUGCCGCGUGUGUGAAGAAGGCCUUCGGGUUGUAAAGCACUUUUGUCCGGAAAGAAAUCCUUGGCUCUAAUACAGUCGGGGGAUGACGGUACCGGAAGAAUAAGCACCGGCUAACUACGUG